Molecule: long non-coding RNA, 502 nt
Filed under: Bos taurus (domestic cattle)
Lineage: Eukaryota; Metazoa; Chordata; Mammalia; Artiodactyla; Bovidae
Description: long non-coding RNA NONBTAT013726
Source: RNAcentral
UUCAGAGGCGUAACAUUCCAGCACACGGGAAGCAUUUCACCAUGUGACAAGCAGUGUGUGUUUCAGAAGCAGCAGCCAAAGGAAAAUGCCUGUGACCCUAUAUCCUGCUCAAGGUGAUUUCCUGUUUGCCCUCCUACUUCACUGGUCCUCCUAGUCCAUGAGGAUUAUAUUUCAGGCGCUUAUUUGUUUUUCAGAUCUUCCUAGGUCUGGAAAUGUCCGGCUUUUCAUUUCUGUAUGCUGUAUUGCUUCCUGUUCUCUCUGAAAAUGAUUGUUUAAAAAUAUUUUUGUACCAUCUUUUUACCUCCUUUACAUCAUGAUGCUGACCCUGAGCAUACUGUCCCAGGACACUCAAUUCUCCAUUUUUUAGUCCCCGUUUGCCAAUCUUGGCAAUUUUAAAAAGGUCCCCGAUUCUACAGGAGAAAGUUCAACGGGACAAUCGUAAUCAUCUUUCUAUGGCACCUGGUGCUGAGUUGGUAGUCCAAGAAUAUUUGUGUCCUUCCUU